UACGAAGGGGGCUAGCGUUGCUCGGAAUCACUGGGCGUAAAGCGCACGUAGGCGGAUUGCUAAGUCAGGGGUGAAAUCCUGGAGCUCAACUCUAGAACUGCCUUUGAUACUGAAGAUCUUGAGUCCGGGAGAGGUGAGUGGAACUGCGAGUGUAGAGGUGAAAUUCGUAGAUAUUCGCAAGAACACCAGUGGCGAAGGCGGCUCACUGGCCCGGUACUGACGCUGAGGCACGAAAGCGUGGGGAGCAAACAGG
Molecule: ribosomal RNA, 253 nt
Filed under: uncultured bacterium
Lineage: Bacteria
Description: partial 16S ribosomal RNA
Rfam family: Bacterial small subunit ribosomal RNA
Source: RNAcentral